Molecule: long non-coding RNA, 1529 nt
Filed under: Durio zibethinus
Lineage: Eukaryota; Viridiplantae; Streptophyta; Magnoliopsida; Malvales; Malvaceae
Description: long non-coding RNA (DZIB_LNC001209)
Source: RNAcentral
UUUUUAUUUUUAUUAAAAUUAAUUAAAUAGGGACCGCUGGCAGCCUUCCCUUUCCAUUCUCAGUUUCCUCUGUUUUUACCUCCCAUUUCACCUAUUUAACUCUAACACAAAUUCAUCAAACAACCCACCCAAGAACCAGCAUGCUACUGCUCCCGAAAUGCUGCAAUGGCUGUUGCAACAAGAGUCCAGCAAAAAUCAAUCGCCAUGUCCUUUUUUCAGGAGUUGAAUCCUAAAAGAACCGAGAAGUUUUUAACAUAGGGGGAGGGGACAAUUCAGAGAACCAAAAAAAAAAAAAAAAAAACACAUUACCAAUCUACAAUUCCCAUUCACGAUUCACAGAAACGGAAACCCCAUAGCCCUUCCCAGCAUCCUCUUCCAACCUCCACAGCCAAGAACCACAUCCAAGAGCUAUCCCAUCCUAAACCAUCACGAAUAGACAGGAAAAUCUCAGGAGCCCCUUCCCUUAGCCACCCUCUACCCCAUAUACAACACCAGCAGAAAACCAUACCUGGACUCCUUUGAACCAUCAAAAAACUCCUAGCCACCCUCUACCCCAUAUACAACACCAGCAGAAAACCAUACCUGGACUCCUUUGAACCAUCAAAAAACUCCACCACCAUAAACACCCGUCUGAACCACCAAAUUCAAAACAGCUGACCAACACCAUCACUAACCCUCUACACAGACCACCCGCGGCCUCCCACCACCUCUGAAUCACCAUAACAGCCCGCAUCAUCACCCCUUCGGCCAUCAUCCACCGUCAUCAUUUCUCACAUCACCAACACAUAAACCCAGACCCGAACCACCACCCAACACUAUCGAGAACCACCAUCAACCCAACCCCUGCCUCUGCCUCCUUGACAGCCGAAACCAAACCCUGUGACCCACCAUCAACCAAAAAAAACCACCACAAGCCUACCCAACCACCCCAGCCGAAACCCACUGCCUACAGCCACCACUGACCACCAAACCAUCACAGCCCCCAAUCCCCACACCAACAGCCGAACUACUCCACCCUCAACCACCCAAACCAAAAAAUAUAUAUAUUGUUCUUUGAAAACUGAAACCAACUGUCAAGCAACAAGUAACCAGAAAAUAAAUUCACAUCCCCUGGGAGGGGAGAAGCAGACCCUAGAAGCCAAAAAAAAAACAAGGACAUAAAAUUCGGCAGAGGGAGAAAGGCCAAGGAGCUUCAGUUUGGGAUGGCUCUAGGGAAGUUUUAGUGCUCUUUUUUGUGGAGGAAGAAGGUAUUGGGCGGUAGAAGGACAUACUAGAAGAACAGAUUGGUGCGGGUGGCGGAGGUAGUAGUUUUGGGUUUUUUUGUCGGAACUUUGAACCUAGAUCUAGGAUUAUUCGUGUUGAUUCACGAAAAAAAGGAGACCGGACUUGAGAAGAGGGGAUCGGGAAGAAGUUUCGGUGAAAUUUCGGCAUCCAAAGGGCGCCAGCCGGCGGCUGCGGUGACCCCGGCGCUGGAAACUGGGUAUUUAGGGGGCUGCUUGGUUUUGUUUAGAGAGGUUUUGGUAUUUUUA